This 1519-nucleotide long non-coding RNA is filed under the name Aquilegia coerulea. RNAcentral's name for it is "long non-coding RNA (ACOE_LNC000285)". Lineage: Eukaryota; Viridiplantae; Streptophyta; Magnoliopsida; Ranunculales; Ranunculaceae. The record is from RNAcentral.
AAAACUGUUAUUGAUGGUUUGGCUCGUCGUCAUCAUUUAAAGUCUUUUGAUCAUAUUCUCAUGCAUGUAAUUAUUCUGGCCAAUCUUUUACCUUCUAAGGGUAAUAAAACUAAUGUCACGACUGAGGUCAUGGAGCACUUAUGGUGUAUGACUAGUAGACAUGUGUUUCUGUCGGAGGUAAUUUUUCAUGAGAUGAAGUCGGUUGGUGACUCACCUUCUUUACCCUUUCCUUGUUUUAUUACUGGAGUUGCUUGGUAUUCCAUGUUUAAGGGAAGUUUCUGAUCCUAUACCAUAUGGUGAGAAGGAUUGGAAGAAGUUAGUACGUUCAGGCUUCUCUCAGAGAAAGGAAGCAUUCACUAAUGCCAACAUAGCUUUUACUCAUCAUCUCAUUUUUGGUGUUCCAGAUCCGGAUAAUACGGAUGCCUUUGACAAGACUCUUUUUGUUGGUAUUGAGGAUCCUGAUCCAGAGUUGGUGAAUGUGCCUAUUGAUGUUGGUGCUCAGCUUCGGGCCUUACAGGAGUCGACUACUCUUAUCAAUCGUCAGGUAUAAUACAACUAUCAGCUUUUGAUGGGCUUGUAUCUUCGUGAUGGGCGAAAGGUUCGUGCUCCUACUGAUGGGGCUAUCUCCAGUGUUUCUAUGCCGUCAGCUGCUGCUAAUGAGGUUCCUGAUGAUGCUGAGUGAUAAUUUUUUUUUUCUUUUUUUUUCAGCUUGGUUAUCUCUUUUUGCUAUUUUUGAUAGUUAGUCUUUGCCUAUUUAUCCUGGUAAUUGGACUUGGUCCUAAUUUUUGGUUUGUGAAGCCAGGAUUAUUGUUAGUCUGUGUUCUUAGUAUCUUCUAUUUGUUAGUAAGCAGUAGCUCUUUCCUUGUUAACAUUGUUCAGGUUCUCACCAUUCUAUUUGUCUCUCCAUUUUCUGUCAUCUAAGAGUUGCUUAUUUAUUAUUAUUAUUAUUAUUAUUAUUAUUAUUAUUAUUAUUAUGACCUUUUUUUCACCCGUUGUCCAUUUGUGACAAAAAGAGGGAGAAUUAUUGCCUCUAAUCUUGUUUUUCUCCGAGUGUACUUUGGUUGUAAUAUGUUUCAGGUAUGCACCAAUUAAGGGGGAGAAAAAUACCGACUUCUACAAGUCAUUGAUUGAGGGGGAGUGUCGCUUGAAGAUUAUGAAGCUUCUGUGUGAUCCUCAUAAGGUCUAGGUGAGAGUGUUUUUGUUUGAGUUUGUAAAGGCGUUAUGACCUUAUUUUCAUUACUUGAGUUGGAAUGAUCGAGUUGGGAGGAAUUAGAGUCUUAGGUGUUUUGUCACGAAAUGUGUCAAGGGGUAAGUGGAGCUUGUCACGAAAUGUGUCAAGGAUUGUUUCUUAGAGUGAGUCUGAGAAGGUGUUGUAGUGAUUGCAGAGAUAGAAGACUACGUGGAGCACUUGUACAAGUAUUAGCUUCUGUGAUUGGGUUAAUCUGAGAUUGUAUGAGUGUAUGUUUCUAUUUCAUAUAGUGGAUUGUUUAUCGUCAUGAGGACGGUCGUGGAUGUUUAC